ACGACGACUCUCGGCAACGGAUAUCUCGGCUCACGCAUCGAUGAAGAACGUAGCAAAAUGCGAUACUUGGUGUGAAUUGCAGAAUCCCGUGAACCAUCGAGUUUUUGAACGCAAGUUGCGCCCGAAGCCUUUUGGCUGAGGGCACGUCUGCCUGGGCGUCACGC
This 164-nucleotide ribosomal RNA is filed under the name Achillea formosa subsp. formosa. RNAcentral describes it as "5.8S ribosomal RNA". It matches the Rfam family "5.8S ribosomal RNA". From Rfam's summary of the family: 5.8S ribosomal RNA (5.8S rRNA) is a component of the large subunit of the eukaryotic ribosome. It is transcribed by RNA polymerase I as part of the 45S precursor that also contains 18S and 28S rRNA. Functionally, it is thought that 5.8S rRNA may be involved in ribosome translocation. Lineage: Eukaryota; Viridiplantae; Streptophyta; Magnoliopsida; Asterales; Asteraceae. The record is from RNAcentral.